Molecule: long non-coding RNA, 1806 nt
Organism: Mesocricetus auratus (golden hamster)
Lineage: Eukaryota; Metazoa; Chordata; Mammalia; Rodentia; Cricetidae
Exons: 4
Source: RefSeq, a predicted model, not a curated record
ACCCGAGUCCGCGGAAAGGCCGCCGUGGAGCGGCCAAGGGGGGCUUUCCUCUCCGCUGCAGCCCCACCAGACGUUAGGGGCGCGACAAUAGUGGACCCGCGCACUAACAAAAGGCCAUUCACCGGAUAGAUGAGGACGGCUCAGCCGCCGUCUCCGCGGGGCAGACGUACAGAGGGCUCCGAGAGGGGGUUGGGGGAAUCCUGAGUGGUCCAGAGCCUCUGCCACGCUCCAGGGGGCGGGAGCCGCUCUUUACCACCCAGCCCUGGGGGUCAGUGCUGGGGAGGAGAACUAAGCAAAGUUUUCGUUUUCUCCUUCUCCAGUGCAGGAAAGGGAGGGGCUGCGAUUCCAGAUGCUUGACAGUUGUUGGCCCCAAAGUUGAGCAAGACUUAUUUGUUCCUAAUACCCUCCGUUCACCAGGCAUCAGUAGCCUGGGGACAACCCGUGACCUGUAGUCCCACGCCGCCCCGUGCUGGGUUUCAGGAGCCCGGGCGCAUCCCCCUGCAUCGAUGCACUUUCGUAAAAGUUUCUCUGCUCGCCGCCUCAGGCCGACGCGCACCCUACCCCGCAUCUGCGAUUCAGGAAGGGUUCGGCCUAGGGCCCUGCUGUCUUCCUUCGCACGGGCAGCUGCAGCUGGAGCGGGAGAAAAAGUGAGCUCCUCCAGCCGGGGCAGCGACGCUUGGCAGAUCCACGCGAGGGGCUUCCUGGCCAGCACGCGCGACUCGGGACGCAGCCGCCGCGCCUCCGCUGCAGCCCCCACAUGCACCGAGCGCGCCGCGCAGCCCGCCCGGGCGUCUCUGCAGGUCAUCGACUGGGAGCGGAGUCCCCUGGCGGCCUCCUCUGGAAAGGCAGCUGCUGGGGGCAAGAGGAGUCUUGCUGCCUUUAGGAUCCUCUGAUCUCCACUAGGGCCUGAGACAAUGUGCAGUCUAAGAAGUCUCUCUACCGCUGACCAGCGUAGCUAAAAAGAUGCCAGACUAGAAGAGAUGUUUUCCUGGUUGGGUUUUUGUCAGCUUGACAAAAAUCUAGGAAGAGGGGAUCUUAGUUGAGAAAAUACCACCUUAAGAUAGCCUAUUGGUCUGUCCGGCUUUUUUUUUUUUUUUUUUUUUUUGAUUAAUGAUUGGCGAGGGAGGACUCAGUCCACUGUGGGUGGUGCUAAUUUGGGGCAGGUAGUCCUGGGGUGUCUAAGAAAGAAGGCUGAAUAAGCCGUGAGAAGCAAGCCUGUUCUUCCGUGACUUCUGCUUCAGUUCCUGUUUCCAGGACCCUUGACUAAUCACAAGGCUCGAGAGAUUAAUCUCCUGUUUUACGGGAGCAUCUGUGAGGACAGAAUUUAUGACAAUGAACUCUGGGUCACAGACAUAAGUACGCAUGGCUCCUCCUAAGCACUGAAGUAAUGGCAAUGGAAAGGUGGAGGCGAGACUAGGUGUUGGCAGACUCUGGAUGAGCUGGUCCAUCGAAUGGGUUCCCCAGGCCUCAGGAGACUCUGAGCAGGGUACCAGAAGGCAGGCCAGAAACAGGCCCAUGCUUGCCUCCUCCCAUCGGUGGAAGCGGGACUAUUAUUGCUACUUCGUCAGACUUUGGAUAGGCUGGUCACUGGGACAGGUUCCCCUGUGCAAAAUCCCCAGGCCUCAGGAGACUCCAAGCAGGGCAGUGCCCCAACGACUGUUGAGCAAUAAAACCUAAGUGGUUUUAUUGGUUUGUUUAUUUAUUUGUAAAAGUAAGGUUCUGGUUUAGUUACUGAAUUUUGUUGUUAUUUGUUUGAUGCCCAGCUCAUAAGAAACACCCAAUAAAUGUUUGUCUGACUAGGCUUAA